Molecule: long non-coding RNA, 920 nt
Organism: Helianthus annuus (common sunflower)
Lineage: Eukaryota; Viridiplantae; Streptophyta; Magnoliopsida; Asterales; Asteraceae
Exons: 3
Source: RefSeq, a predicted model, not a curated record
UCCUCCACAUUUCAGUCUGUUUCUCUAAUCAUCUUAUCUUAUUGUUUCUAGUUUAUAAGAUAAAGAGCCAAGCCUUGAUCCUUCUAGUUUCUCAUUCUUUUCGCUAAAUAUGAUAUCUUCGAAAGCUGUAUUUGAACGGUAUCUCCGUUAGGAAGUGAGAUAGUGUUUGUUAAAUACGAAUAAUAAAACGAGAAAAAUAGUCGAGAGCUUAUGACACCGACAUGAGUUUAGCUAUCAUAGUUGAAUGAAUCAAUAAUAUUAUGAUGGACAAGUAUAAUCCAGUUUCAUGGUGAGUGGAUCAUCAAUAAUUAUACUUUAUUAUUUAUAUCAGGUUCUGAGAGAUAAGCGGACGGGGAAGACCAAGGGAUAUGGAUGCGUUAGUUUUGCUAACCCAACCAAUCUGGCUUCUACUCUCAAAGAAAUGAAUGGAAAAUAUGUUGGAGACUGUCCAAUAAAACUGCGUAAGAGCAACUGGAAACAAAGAACAGAUUUUGAGGCUUUGCAAAAGUAGAAGCAACAGGAUCAGAAGAAGGCGAGCCUGCCAAAGAAGAGUGUCCUUCAUAAGUGAGCAACAUUGUAUCAUGUUCAAUAAGGAGGAAUUAAAGUCAACCGAACAUUUCAAUUCAUUAAUAUCUGUUUAUUGUAGACACGGGUAUAACAGCAAAGCAACUGGGUUGUAUAGAGAGAUGGAGGAGGUGGUGGUGAUGGUGGGUUGAAGGUGAUGGUGGAGGAGGUAGUGGUGAUGGUAGAGGUGGUGGUGGGUUAGAGAGAGAUAUGAGGGAGAAGAAGAUGAAGGGUGGGCUCAUCUCUUUUUGUUUUUUAAUACCAAUGGCAUUUUAGUAAUUUCACAUCUACUUAAAAACGUCAGGGACUAUCCAGGAACGAAAUUGUAAAAGUUGGGGACUAUGAAUUUUAGAAAG